AUGGUCUCAUCAAUCUUUGGCUCCAGGAGCACAAAUCUCAAGCAGAACAUGGUGAUCAAGCUGAAGGCAAUUUAUACUCUGGUGGAACAGCUCUACACCGGGUCACAACAUGCUCUGGCCGUUGUGGCUUUAUCAAAUGAUGUUCCCUAUCUCCUGCAAGAUGUGCUGAAGCGGCUAGCUGUGCUACCUCAGCGAAUCCAAGAGUUAAGACGAGCAUCUGCAAGAGCCGGAGCAAUAGCCGCUUUGAGUCGGGCCAAAGCCUGGUUACCAGAGCUAGACCCGGCCGACAUCGCUCUUGGGUAUCCAAGUUUAAAGGAGGAUGGCAAUCCAUUUGAUGAAAAGGAUUUCACCACCUGCGUGAGGGAUAUACGCCCUGUGGCUACUCAAAUUGGAAAUGACACUGACCUCACCAAGUGUCAGCUGGGUUAUGACAAGGAGAAUCAAAGAAUCCCCACGCCGCAUUAUGAUAAUGUCAGCUUGAUUCCUCCAAUCCGUAAGCACACCUUUGCCCCUGAAGUCGACCCAACUGGUUUAAUAGAUGAUGAAACUGAGUUUGAGGCUUUGAGUGGCAUUGACUGGGCCUCAUCAUCCUUCCAGGACAAAGCAGCCGGCGGAGAGGCGGAGAAGGAUAACCCGGAAGCUUCAAGUCAACUCCAAGAGUAG
Molecule: ribosomal RNA, 663 nt
Filed under: Triticum aestivum (bread wheat)
Lineage: Eukaryota; Viridiplantae; Streptophyta; Magnoliopsida; Poales; Poaceae
Description: partial small subunit ribosomal RNA
Source: RNAcentral